Long non-coding RNA from Nycticebus coucang (slow loris), 355 nucleotides. RefSeq lists it as uncharacterized. The record is from RefSeq and is a predicted model, not a curated record. NCBI's taxonomy places the organism in Eukaryota, Metazoa, Chordata, Mammalia, Primates, Lorisidae. The transcript has 3 exons.
UUGCGAAACACAACUUUCAGAAUUCCUGUUUUGCUAUUCAGACAAUACAGAACGUGUGAGGCAGCCAGAAGAAUCCAGUCAUGUGACACUAUGAUGGUUACUUUCUGAGCCUCUGGGGGCUUUGGCUUCUUUGGGGGCUUUUCACCCAUUUCCCUACGGGGCUUGAGGACUCCUGAAAGGCAGCUGCGGGCAGAACGCACCGGACCAAAGACCGGGUGUGAACAGGGUGCCACACCAGCUCCCUGGGCUCUCCGGUCUACUGUUGGACUCCCCUACCAGAGUGCACACUCCCAGAGCACAAGCACCACCCUGCUCUGUGGCCUCCGUACCCAGCACAGAGCCGGGGCCUGAUAAA